This 338-nucleotide ribosomal RNA is filed under the name uncultured bacterium. RNAcentral describes it as "partial 16S ribosomal RNA". It matches the Rfam family "Bacterial small subunit ribosomal RNA", at positions 338 to 668 of the family's 1533-position model. The record is from RNAcentral.
CCUACGGGUGGCAGCAGUAGGGAAUCUUCCACAAUGGGCGAAAGCCUGAUGGAGCAAUGCCGCGUGGGUGAAGAAGGUCUUCGGAGCGUUAAACUCUGUUGUUAGAGAGGUAAGUGCGUGAGAGUAUCUGUUCACGUAUCGACGGUAUCUAACCAGAAAGCCACGGCUAACUACGUGCCAGCAGCCGCGGCAAUACGUAGGAGGCAAGCGUUAUCCGGAUUUAUUGGGCGUAAAGGGAACGUAGGCGGUCUUUUAAGUCUGAUGUGAAAGCCUUCGGCUUAACCGGUGUAGUGCAUUGGAUACUGGGGGACUAGAGUGCAGAUGAGGAGGGCGGAACG